AGUGAACGCUGGCGGUAGGCCUAACACAUGCAAGUCGAACGGCAGCACAGUAAGAGCUUGCUCUUACGGGUGGCGAGUGGCGGAUGGGUGAGGAAUACAUCGGAAUCUACUUUUUCGUGGGGGAUAACGUAGGGAAACUUACGCUAAUACCGCAUAUGACCUACGGGUGAAAGCAGGGGUUCUUCGGACCUUGCGCGAUUGUAUUAGCUGAUGUCGGAUUAGCUAGUUGGCUGGGUAAAGGCCCACCAAGGCGACGAUCCGUAGCUGGUCUGAGAGGAUGAUCAGCCACACUGGAACUGAGACACGGUCCAGACUCCUACGGGAGGCAGCAGUGGGGAAUAUUGCACAAUGGGCGCAAGCCUGAUCCAGCCAUACCGCGUGAGUGAAGAAGGCCUUCGGAUUGUAAAGCCCUUUUGUUGGGAAAGAAAAGCAGCAGGUUAAUACCCCGCUGUUCUGACGGUACCCAAAGAAUAAGCACCGGCUAACUUCGUG
Molecule: ribosomal RNA, 492 nt
Filed under: uncultured bacterium
Lineage: Bacteria
Description: partial 16S ribosomal RNA
Rfam family: Bacterial small subunit ribosomal RNA
Source: RNAcentral